GUAAGUCAGUUGUGAAAGUUUGCGGCUCAACCGUAAAAUUGCAGUUGAUACUGUCAGUCUUGAGUACAGUAGAGGUGGGCGGAAUUCGUGGUGUAGCGGUGAAAUGCUUAGAUAUCACGAAGAACUCCGAUUGCGAAGGCAGCUCACUGGACUGCAACUGACACUGAUGCUCGAAAGUGUGGGUAUCAAACAGGAUUAGAUACCCUGGUAGUCCACACAGUAAACGAUGAAUACUCGCUGUUUGCGAUAUACAGUAAGCGGCCAAGCGAAAGCAUUAAGUAUUCCACCUGGGGAGUACGCCGGCAACGGUGAAACUCAAAGGAAUUGACGGGGGCCCGCACAAGCGGAGGAACAUGUGGUUUAAUUCGAUGAUACGCGAGGAACCUUACCCGGGCUUAAAUUGCAGUGGAAUGAUGUGGAAACAUGUCAGUGAGCAAUCACCGCUGUGAAGGUGCUGCAUGGUUGUCGUCAGCUCGUGCCGUGAGGUGUCGGCUUAAGUGCCAUAACGAGCGCAACCCUUAUCUUCAGUUACUAACAGGUCAUGCUGAGGACUCUGGAGGGACUGCCGUCGUAAGAUGUGAGGAAGGUGGGGAUGACGUCAAAUCAGCACGGCCCUUACGUCCGGGGCUACACACGUGUUACAAUGGGGGGUACAGAAGGCAGCUAGCGGGUGACCGUAUGCUAAUCCCAAAAUCCUCUCUCAGUUCGGAUCGAAGUCUGCAACCCGACUUCGUGAAGCUGGAUUCGCUAGUAAUCGCGCAUCAGCCACGGCGCGGUGAAUACGUUCCCGGGCCUUGUACACACCGCCCGUCAAGCCAUGGGAGCCGGGNNUACCUGAAGUACGUAACCGCAAGGAUCGUCCUAGGGUAAAACUGGUGACUGGGGAUAAGUCGUAACAAGGUAACCA
Molecule: ribosomal RNA, 907 nt
Filed under: uncultured bacterium
Lineage: Bacteria
Description: bacterial SSU rRNA
Rfam family: Bacterial small subunit ribosomal RNA
Source: RNAcentral